AGGGAGCGGGCGCCGCGGAGAGGGCGGAGAGAAUAACUAACUCCCUCUGACCAAUUGUUUUCAGUUUAUAAUUUUUUCCAGGGCUAGAAUCCCUGGGAACUGGGGUUGGGGGUUAGUGUUUGGGAGAUUUCUUUGGGUUGGGUUGGGUUUUGCGCCCUCUCUGCCUCUGUGUCUCUUUGUUUUGUUUUUACCUAGAUAUCCCUUUGAAACUCAGCCACGAAGGAGAGAGUAAAAAGCAAUGCUCAGAAUGUCGGAACUGGAAGGAACCUCAGAACCGACUACACAGAUGGCUAUAGAUCAAAGGCAAUGAGGGUUACCUAGCACUUUGCAAAGCUUAAGACACAUAUAAAUGGAAAAUUAUAUUAUUCGCAUAGACAUGGAGGACACCAGCAAUGGGGAGGCUCCAGAAAAACUCUUCAGAGAAAAGGUCUCCCAAGGGAAACUCUCACUCAGAUAGAACAAUGGUAGAAAAGGAGGGAAGGAAAGAAUUUGAAAGAAUUUUUACAGUUGAGGAAACUGAGGUAAACAGAGGUGAAGUGACUUGCCCAGGACCACCCAGCUAGAUGGAGUGAAAUGUCAAUGGGACAUUGUGCUGGACAGAUCUGGAGUCGGAGGACUCAGGUGGGAAUCCUGCUUCUUCCACAUAACAUGUCUUAAUUACCAAUGAGAUAAGUUCCCAAAGAGCAGCAAUCCAUCUUUAUCUCAGCUAUAGGCAUUGGUCAUUGUUGGUGUUCAGCAACAGUUCUACGGAUUCUUUAUUGUACUGACUCUCCAUUAGCCCAGGCAGAGUGAGCCAUAGGCUUUCUUUCAUUCCUUUGUCCACUGUUCCUCUCACCUGGAGUGCCUUCUCCCCACCUC
Non-coding RNA from Monodelphis domestica (gray short-tailed opossum), 858 nucleotides. Lineage: Eukaryota; Metazoa; Chordata; Mammalia; Didelphimorphia; Didelphidae. The record is from RefSeq and is a predicted model, not a curated record.